This 231-nucleotide ribosomal RNA is filed under the name uncultured bacterium. RNAcentral describes it as "partial 16S ribosomal RNA". It matches the Rfam family "Bacterial small subunit ribosomal RNA", at positions 15 to 241 of the family's 1533-position model. The record is from RNAcentral.
GAUCAUGGCUCAGGACGAACGCUGGCGGCGCGCCUAACACAUGCAAGUCGAACGAGAGAUGAGGAGCUUGCUCUUCAAAUCGAGUGGCGAACGGGUGAGUAACGCGUGAGGAACCUGCCUCAAAGGAGGGGACAACAGUUGGAAACGACUGCUAAUACCGCAUAAGCCCACGGCUCGGCAUCGAGCAGAGGGAAAAGGAGUGAUCCGCUUUGAGAUGGCCUCGCGUCCGUA